CCCUAUGGGGUGCAGCAGGCCGGCAAGACGCCGCUGCUGGCGCUGGAGGUGCUGGAUUCGCCGAAGGAGCGAGCCGCGGUCUAUUGCAUGUUCGCCGUGGUCGCGCUCGAGGCGAUGCUGAACUUCUCGGUGCCGCUCUACAUCCAGAUCGUGCAGGGCCGCUCGCCGAUCGCGACCGCGAUCGCGAUGAUGCCGUUCAACCUGACGGUGUUCUUCGCCGCCAUGCUGAUCGUGCGCUUCUAUGACCGCUUCACGCCGCGCCAGAUCGGCCGCUACGGCUUCAUCCUGUGCACCGCCGCGCUCCUGUGGCUCGCCUAUGUGGUGCGCAACGACUGGGGCGCCGGACCGGUGCUGAUCGGCCUCGUGCUGUUCGGGAUCGGGCAGGGUGCGCUGGUCACGCUGUUGUUCAACGUGCUGGUGACGGCAUCGCCCAAGGAAUUGGCGGGAGGGC
RNAcentral lists this ribosomal RNA (451 nucleotides) under uncultured prokaryote. Its description in RNAcentral is "partial 16S ribosomal RNA". The record is from RNAcentral.